UGCUGAAGGGGUUAAGAAGGUUAUGAAACUAGGAUUUGACCCUUCAAAAUUAAGAUUUGUUGAGGCAGUCCGUGUUUUCUUUAGGAUGGCGCAUAAAACAUGGGAACAUAAAAUGGAGGUUUUUAGGAGGUGGGGAUUGUCUGAAGAUGAGAUUUGGUUGAUGUUCAGAAAGCAUCCCACAUGUAUGUUAACUUCUGAGAAGAAGGUCAUGCGUACAAUGGAUUUUCUUGUGUGCAAGAUGGGUU
RNAcentral lists this unclassified non-coding RNA (245 nucleotides) under Hevea brasiliensis (rubber tree). The record is from RNAcentral. Lineage: Eukaryota; Viridiplantae; Streptophyta; Magnoliopsida; Malpighiales; Euphorbiaceae.